GAAUUCGCCCUUGGGGAAUCUUCCGCAAUGGGCGAAAGCCUGACGGAGCAAGACCGCGUGGGGGAGGAAGGCUCUAGGGUUGUAAACCCCUUUUCUUUGGGAAGAACAAAAUGACGGUACCAAAGGAAUCAGCCUCGGCUAACUCCGUGCCAGCAGCCGCGGUAAUACGGAGGAGGCAAGCGUUAUCCGGAAUGAUUGGCGUAAAGCGUCCGCAGGUGGCCAUGUAAGUCUGCUGUCAAAACCCAGGGCUCAACUCUGGUCAGGCAGUGGAAACUACAAAGCUAGAGUCUGGUAGGGGCAAAGGGAAUUCCCGGCGUAGCGGUGAAAUGCGUAGAUUUCGGGAAGAACAUCGGUGGCGAAAGCGCUUUGCUAGACCAGAACUGACACUCAGGGACGAAAGCUAGGGGAGCGAAAGGGAUUAGAUACCCCUGUAGUCAAGGGCGAAUUC
RNAcentral lists this ribosomal RNA (448 nucleotides) under uncultured cyanobacterium. Its description in RNAcentral is "bacterial SSU rRNA". It matches the Rfam family "Bacterial small subunit ribosomal RNA", at positions 344 to 807 of the family's 1533-position model. Lineage: Bacteria; Bacillati; Cyanobacteriota. The record is from RNAcentral.